This 301-nucleotide ribosomal RNA is filed under the name uncultured bacterium. Its description in RNAcentral is "partial 16S ribosomal RNA". It matches the Rfam family "Bacterial small subunit ribosomal RNA", at positions 509 to 807 of the family's 1533-position model. The record is from RNAcentral.
CAGUAGCCGCGGUAAUACAGAGGGUGCGAGCGUUAAUCGGAUUUACUGGGCGUAAAGCGUGCGUAGGCGGCUUCUUAAGUCGGAUGUGAAAUCCCUGAGCUUAACUUAGGAAUUGCAUUCGAUACUGGGAAGCUAGAGUAUGGGAGAGUAUGGUAGAAUUCCAGGUGUAGCGGUGAAAUGCGUAGAGAUCUGGAGGAAUACCGAUGGCGAAGGCAGCCAUCUGGCCUAAUACUGACGCUGAGGUACGAAAGCAUGGGGAGCAAACAGGAUUAGAUACCCCUGUAGUCCCUGUCUCUUAUAC